Molecule: ribosomal RNA, 450 nt
Filed under: uncultured bacterium
Lineage: Bacteria
Description: partial 16S ribosomal RNA
Rfam family: Bacterial small subunit ribosomal RNA
Source: RNAcentral
GUGGGGAAUAUUGGACAAUGGGCGCAAGCCUGAUCCAGCCAUACCGCGUGGGUGAAGAAGGCCUUCGGGUUGUAAAGCCCUUUUGUUGGGAAAGAAAUCCUGUCGGUUAAUACCUGGCGGGGAUGACGGUACCCAAAGAAUAAGCACCGGCUAACUUCGUGCCAGCAGCCGCGGUAAUACGAAGGGUGCAAGCGUUACUCGGAAUUACUGGGCGUAAAGCGUGCGUAGGUGGUGGUUUAAGUCCGUUGUGAAAGCCUUGGGCUCAACCUGGGAAUUGCAGGGGAUACUGGAUCACUAGAGUGUGGUAGAGGGAUGCGGAAUUUCUGGUGUAGCAGUGAAAUGCGUAGAGAUCAGAAGGAACAUCCGUGGCGAAGGCGGCAUCCUGGGCCAACACUGACACUGAGGCACGAAAGCGUGGGGAGCAAACAGGAUUAGAUACCCUUGUAGUCC